This 490-nucleotide ribosomal RNA is filed under the name uncultured bacterium. Its description in RNAcentral is "partial 16S ribosomal RNA". It matches the Rfam family "Bacterial small subunit ribosomal RNA", at positions 30 to 507 of the family's 1533-position model. The record is from RNAcentral.
AUUGAGCGCUGGCGGCAGGCUUAACACAUGCAAGUCGAGCGGUAGCACAGGGGAGCUUGCUCCCUGGGUGACGAGCGGCGGACGGGUGAGUAAUGUCUGGGAAACUGCCUGAUGGAGGGGGAUAACUACUGGAAACGGUAGCUAAUACCGCAUAACGUCGCAAGACCAAAGAGGGGGACCUUCGGGCCUCUUGCCAUCAGAUGUGCCCAGAUGGGAUUAGCUAGUAGGUGGGGUAAUGGCUCACCUAGGCGACGAUCCCUAGCUGGUCUGAGAGGAUGACCAGCCACACUGGAACUGAGACACGGUCCAGACUCCUACGGGAGGCAGCAGUGGGGAAUAUUGCACAAUGGGCGCAAGCCUGAUGCAGCCAUGCCGCGUGUGUGAAGAAGGCCUUCGGGUUGUAAAGCACUUUCAGCGAGGAGGAAGGUGGUGAGCUUAAUACGUUCAUCAAUUGACGUUACUCGCAGAAGAAGCACCGGCUAACUCCGUG